Molecule: ribosomal RNA, 583 nt
Filed under: Salmonella enterica subsp. enterica serovar Infantis
Lineage: Bacteria; Pseudomonadati; Pseudomonadota; Gammaproteobacteria; Enterobacterales; Enterobacteriaceae
Also listed under: 1 other name
Description: partial 23S ribosomal RNA
Rfam family: Bacterial large subunit ribosomal RNA
Source: RNAcentral
UUUUGUAUAAUGGGUCAGCGACUUAUAUUCUGUAGCAAGGUUAACCGUAUAGGGGAGCCGGAGGGAAACCGAGUCUUAAUUGGGCGUUAAGUUGCAGGGUAUAGACCCGAAACCCGGUGAUCUAGCCAUGGGCAGGUUGAAGGUUGGGUAACACUAACUGGAGGACCGAACCGACUAAUGUUGAAAAAUUAGCGGAUGACCUGUGGCUGGGGGUGAAAGGCCAAUCAAACCGGGAGAUAGCUGGUUCUCCCCGAAAGCUAUUUAGGUAGCGCCUCGUGAAUUCAUCUCCGGGGGUAGAGCACUGUUUCGGCUAGGGGGCCAUCCCGGCUUACCAACCCGAUGCAAACUGCGAAUACCGGAGAAUGUUAUCACGGGAGACACACGGCGGGUGCUAACGUCCGUCGUGAAGAGGGAAACAACCCAGACCGCCAGCUAAGGUCCCAAAGUCAUGGUUAAGUGGGAAACGAUGUGGGAAGGCCCAGACAGCCAGGAUGUUGGCUUAGAAGCAGCCAUCAUUUAAAGAAAGCGUAAUAGCUCACUGGUCGAGUCGGCCUGCGCGGAAGAUGUAACGGGGCUAAACCAU